The sequence is a transfer RNA, 79 nucleotides long. It matches the Rfam family "tRNA". From Rfam's summary of the family: Transfer RNA (tRNA) molecules are approximately 80 nucleotides in length. Their secondary structure includes four short double-helical elements and three loops (D, anti-codon, and T loops).
GGGCCCGUCGUCUAGCAUGGAUUAGGACGCAGAGAUUAAUAGCCUGAGAUCCUGGGUUCAAAUCCCAGCGGGCCCGCCA